RNAcentral lists this ribosomal RNA (422 nucleotides) under uncultured bacterium. Its description in RNAcentral is "partial 16S ribosomal RNA". It matches the Rfam family "Bacterial small subunit ribosomal RNA", at positions 360 to 774 of the family's 1533-position model. The record is from RNAcentral.
AAUAUUGGACAAUGGGGGCAACCCUGAUCCAGCCAUGCCGCUUGUUUGAAGAAGGUCUUCGGAAUGUAAAGCACUUUAAGUUGGGAGGUAGGGCUUUAGGUUAAUCCCCUGAAGUUUCGAAGUUACCAACAGAAUAAGCACCGGCUAACUCUGUGCUCGCAGCCGCGGUAAUACAGAUGGUGCAAGCCUUAAUCGGAAUUAGUGGGCGUAAAGCGCGCGUAGGUGGUUCAGUAAAAUGGGUGUGAAAUCCCCGGGCUUAACCUGGGAACUGCUUUCAUAACUGCUGAGCUAGAGUACGGUAGAGGGUAGUGGAAUUUCCUGUGUAGCGGUGAAAUGCGUAGAUAUAGGAAGGAACACCAGUGGCGAAGGCGACUACCUGGACUGAUACUGACACUGAGGUGCGAAAGCGUGGGGAGCAAACA